This 1425-nucleotide long non-coding RNA is filed under the name Anas platyrhynchos platyrhynchos (common mallard). RNAcentral's name for it is "lncRNA (ENSAPLG00000027838.1)". Lineage: Eukaryota; Metazoa; Chordata; Aves; Anseriformes; Anatidae. The record is from RNAcentral.
AUGUCUGUGGUGUGUGUCCCCUCCUUGCACAUGUGUGUGCAUGUGCUCCCCCACACACAUCUGUGUGCUCACACACCCCAUUUGAAUGCACAGCACUCUGCACGCAUACAGGACAUGUUCUCCUUCAGGCACACACUCCUUGUGCCCCCUUGCACACACAUGUGCUCUUCAUUGCACACACACCUUUUAAUGUGCACGGUCCCCUUGAACACACGUGCUCUUCGUUGCACACAUGCCCUGCUCACACAUACAUGCUCUUCAUUGCACACACACUCUUUAACCCACAUGAUCCCCUUGCACACACACAUGCUCCCCUUUGCACAGACCCCAUCUUGCACCCCCAAGUGCCUUCCCAUUGUGCGCACACUCCCCUUGCACACGCGCUCCCCUUUGCACACUCAUCUGCACACACAUGCCCGCUUUUGCACCCACCCGCGCCCCCUCACACCCCAUCCUUGCAUGCGCUCUCCCCCUUGCAUGCGCCCCCUUGCACACCCCCUCGCACACCCAAGCGCCUCCCCCCCUCGCACACCCGCCCUCCCGCGCCUCUUGAGCAAUAACGCUGGGAUUAAUAAAGCCGCGGAGCCCUCCCCUAAUCGACUCCAGCUGCAAAAACAUUCCCCGCAUUCAGAGGCGGCUCUGUCUCCGGAGCCGCCGCUCGCUGCCCAGGCCAGGCCGAAUUCCUGCCCCGGCCCCCGCGCCCUCCUCCCCGCGGGACAGCUGCGCCGGAACAGCCCGCGCGGCCGCGGCCACCCCGGGGAGCGGGAGGGGGACAGGGCAGGGACGAGGGUCCUGGAGCAGGGGGGGGCAGCACGGUCCCAGUGGGCACGGGGAGGGAGGUGGGGUGCCAUGCCACCGUCCUGUGUCCAGCUGUCCCAUGUUUGUGCACCCUAUGACCUCCUGUCCCAUGGACACUCAUCCCAUGUUCACCCACCCCUGUGCAUCCAUCCCACGUUCUCUAGACGGGGUUCUGGAUGGAGGUGGGGUGUCAUAUCCACCCACCCAUGUCCACCCAUCCCGUGUCGUGUCUGCCCAUCCCAUGUCCACUCAUCUGUGUCACUCCAUCCCAUGUCCCUCCGUCCCACUUCCAUCCAUCCCAUGUCUACCCUUCCCUUCUCCAUCCAUCCCACCUUCUCCAGGAGGGCUGUUGGGAUGAAGAAGGGGCACCACAUCUGCUUGUCCCGAGUCCUCAAGGCAAGGCACAGAGAAGGAGACCGAGCAUCACACCACCUUGUCCCGGGGGCUCCAGGAGGGUGUUGGGGUGGAGGCAGCCCUGUGCCCUCCUGCCCUACACCCUCCAGGGCCAGGGUCCCACUCCCACCGGUCCCACUUUGUUCAGGCAGGGCAGUGGGAUGGGGACGGUGUCCCUGUAGGAUAGUGUCUCAACCCUCAUUAGGGAGGUCCCUAAUUACUAGGGGUGCAUGA